RNAcentral lists this long non-coding RNA (679 nucleotides) under Monodelphis domestica (gray short-tailed opossum). RNAcentral's name for it is "lncRNA (ENSMODG00000051282.1)". Lineage: Eukaryota; Metazoa; Chordata; Mammalia; Didelphimorphia; Didelphidae. The record is from RNAcentral.
CACAAAGUUUGGAAGAAUGUAUUUCCAGUUUCAUUUCACAGAGAAAGAAUCACCUCAGAAGAAUGAGAUGCAGCAAAGUCAAUGGAAAGAGCACUAACUCCGGAAUCAAAGGACUGGAUGUAAAUCCCAUCUCUGGGGUUUGCAAUCUAUGACUUUGGAGAGAAGAUGGAAGGAUGCUCUGAGAAGGAAGCAAUUUUUCAUUCUUCACUGAAUGAUGAUGAAGAUCCGCAGAUACUAGGAGAAAAACAGAAAGAAGAGAAAGUGAUGGAUGCUAGACUAUAUGAGAAUGCUGAUCUGUGCAAUGAAUUCCACAGAAACUCACCAUGCCAAUGGCAAGACAAUGCCUAUUUGACAGCACUGGAAGAAUCCAAUGAGUGGGUAACUGGACCCUUUGGACAGUGGUUAUUGAUUUGAUCAGCACAAAUGAUCUGAAGUACUUCCAAGUUGUCAUAACCUUGAUGAAUCACAAGAAUAAGUACUUCUUGGUCUCAAUUUUUUUUCCCCCAGAAACAUCCAAAUCUUUUAUAUACAAACUGUCAUGUUCAAGUUUCCUGUAUCCUGUGUUUGGGCAUCAGAAUUUUUAUCCAAAAACAGAAGAUUUCACAUUGAUUAAUUUCAGCUCGCUGAUUUGGGUCCUAUAAUCCAAACUGUUAAGAUUAUUUUAUGACAUAGACUUUCC